Molecule: transfer RNA, 85 nt
Filed under: Caudoviricetes sp.
Lineage: Duplodnaviria; Heunggongvirae; Uroviricota; Caudoviricetes
Description: tRNA-Ser
Rfam family: tRNA
About the family: Transfer RNA (tRNA) molecules are approximately 80 nucleotides in length. Their secondary structure includes four short double-helical elements and three loops (D, anti-codon, and T loops).
Source: RNAcentral
GCAGUGUUCCCAUAAUGGUAUUGGAGCCGGUUGCUAUCCGGUAGGGCGUUUGUUCGCCUUGUAGGUUCGAGUCCUACACACUGCG